GGGUCAGUAGGUUGGUCGUGCCACCGGUACGUACUGGUCUCACUGAUCCCUCCUUCCUGAAGAACCGUAAUGCCAUUAAUUUGGUGUUGCGGGGAAACAGGACUGUUACUUUGAAAAAAUUAGAGUGUUUAAAGCAAGCUAACGCUUGAAUACAUUAGCAUGGAAUAAUGAAAUAGGACGAUCGAUCCUAUUUUGUUGGUUUCUGGGAUUGACGUA
This 216-nucleotide ribosomal RNA is filed under the name Glomeromycotina sp. RNAcentral describes it as "partial small subunit ribosomal RNA". The stretch from base 75 to 216 matches the Rfam family "Eukaryotic small subunit ribosomal RNA", at positions 721 to 864 of the family's 1831-position model. Lineage: Eukaryota; Fungi; Glomeromycota. The record is from RNAcentral.